AGUGAUAACAGAAAAGUUACCCUGGGGAUAACUGAGUCGUCGCCAGCAAGAGUUCAUAUCGACCUGGCGGUUUGCUACUUCGACGUCGGCUCUUCCUAUCCUGGUGGUGCAGCAGCUGCCAAGGGUGGGGUUGUUCGCCCAUUAAAAGGGAUCGUGAGCUGGGUUCAGACCGUCGUGAGACAGGUUUGUUGCUUUUUGGUGGAAGUGCACUAGUGCCUGAUGGGAAGCUCCCUUAAGUACGAGAGGAACGGGGGGGCGCCGCCUCUAGUUUACCAGUUGUCCGACAGGGCAUUGCUGGGCAGCCACGCGGUAGUGGAUAAGAGCUGAAAGCAUCUAAGCUCGAAGCCACCCUAAAAACGAGGCACUUUUCAACGCUCGUAGAAGACGAGUUUGAUAGAGCCGGGGUGUAAGUACCAAGGACCUCCGAGGUAUUCAGCCCGCGGCCACUAAAGUUGUAGCCACAUUAGUG
Molecule: ribosomal RNA, 469 nt
Filed under: Thermoplasmata archaeon
Lineage: Archaea; Methanobacteriati; Thermoplasmatota; Thermoplasmata
Description: partial 23S ribosomal RNA
Rfam family: Archaeal large subunit ribosomal RNA
Source: RNAcentral